Molecule: transfer RNA, 73 nt
Filed under: Pyxidicoccus parkwayensis
Lineage: Bacteria; Pseudomonadati; Myxococcota; Myxococcia; Myxococcales; Myxococcaceae
Description: Pyxidicoccus sp. SCPEA002 tRNA-Asp
Rfam family: tRNA
About the family: Transfer RNA (tRNA) molecules are approximately 80 nucleotides in length.
Source: RNAcentral
GGGGCCGUAGCGCAGCGGUUGUCGCGCCGCCUUAUCAAGGCGGAGGACGCCGGUUCGACUCCGGUCGGUCUCA